This 76-nucleotide transfer RNA is filed under the name Mycoplasmopsis lipophila. RNAcentral describes it as "tRNA-Glu". It matches the Rfam family "tRNA". From Rfam's summary of the family: Transfer RNA (tRNA) molecules are approximately 80 nucleotides in length. Their secondary structure includes four short double-helical elements and three loops (D, anti-codon, and T loops). RNAcentral also lists the same sequence under 8 other names. Lineage: Bacteria; Bacillati; Mycoplasmatota; Mycoplasmoidales; Metamycoplasmataceae. The record is from RNAcentral.
GGUCUGUUGGUGAAGCGGUUAACACACAUGGUUUUCAUCCAUGCACGCACGGGUUCGAUUCCCGUACAGACUACCA